GACGAACGCUGGCGGCGUGCCUAAUACAUGCAAGUAGAACGCUGAAGGAGGAGCUUGCUUCUCCGGAUGAGUUGCGAACGGGUGAGUAACGCGUAGGUAACCUGCCUGGUAGCGGGGGAUAACUAUUGGAAACGAUAGCUAAUACCGCAUAAGAGUAGAUGUUGCAUGACAUUUGCUUAAAAGGUGCAAUUGCAUCACUACCAGAUGGACCUGCGUUGUAUUAGCUAGUUGGUGGGGUAACGGCUCACCAAGGCGACGAUACAUAGCCGACCUGAGAGGGUGAUCGGCCACACUGGGACUGGGACACGGCCCAGACUCCUACGGGAGGCAGCAGUAGGGAAUCUUCGGCAAUGGACGGAAGUCUGACCGAGCAACGCCGCGUGAGUGAAGAAGGUUUUCGGAUCGUAAAGCUCUGUUGUAAGAGAAGAACGAGUGUGAGAGUGGAAAGUUCACACUGUGACGGUAUCUUACCAGAAAGGGACGGCUAACUACGUG
RNAcentral lists this ribosomal RNA (495 nucleotides) under uncultured bacterium. RNAcentral's name for it is "partial 16S ribosomal RNA". It matches the Rfam family "Bacterial small subunit ribosomal RNA", at positions 28 to 507 of the family's 1533-position model. The record is from RNAcentral.